Molecule: ribosomal RNA, 412 nt
Filed under: uncultured Geobacter sp.
Lineage: Bacteria; Pseudomonadati; Thermodesulfobacteriota; Desulfuromonadia; Geobacterales; Geobacteraceae
Description: bacterial SSU rRNA
Rfam family: Bacterial small subunit ribosomal RNA
Source: RNAcentral
UGCCAGCAGCCGCGGUAAUACGGAGGGUGCAAGCGUUGUUCGGAUUUAUUGGGCGUAAAGCGCGUGUAGGCGGUUUGUUAAGUCUGAUGUGAAAGCCCUGGGCUCAACCUGGGAAGUGCAUUGGAAACUGGCAGACUUGAAUACGGGAGAGGGUAGUGGAAUUCCUAGUGUAGGAGUGAAAUCCGUAGAUAUUAGGAGGAACACCGGUGGCGAAGGCGGCUACCUGGACCGAUAUUGACGCUGAGACGCGAAAGCGUGGGGAGCAAACAGGAUUAGAUACCCUGGUAGUCCACGCCGUAAACGAUGAGUACUAGGUGUUGCGGGUAUUGACCCCUGCAGUGCCGCAGCUAACGCAUUAAGUACUCCGCCUGGGAAGUACGGUCGCAAGACUAAAACUCAAAGGAAUUGACGG